RNAcentral lists this ribosomal RNA (497 nucleotides) under uncultured bacterium. Its description in RNAcentral is "partial 16S ribosomal RNA". It matches the Rfam family "Bacterial small subunit ribosomal RNA", at positions 28 to 507 of the family's 1533-position model. The record is from RNAcentral.
GAUGAACGCUGGCGGCGUGCCUAAUACAUGCAUGUCGAGCGAACAGACGAGGAGCUUGCUCCUCUGACGUUAGCGGCGGACGGGUGAGUAACACGUGGAUAACCUACCUAUAAGACUGGGAUAACUUCGGGAAACCGGAGCUAAUACCGGAUAACAUGUUGAACCGCAUGGUUCAACAGUGAAAGACGGUCUUGCUGUCACUUAUAGAUGGAUCCGCGCCGCAUUAGCUAGUUGGUAAGGUAACGGCUUACCAAGGCAACGAUGCGUAGCCGACCUGAGAGGGUGAUCGGCCACACUGGAACUGAGACACGGUCCAGACUCCUACGGGAGGCAGCAGUAGGGAAUCUUCCGCAAUGGGCGAAAGCCUGACGGAGCAACGCCGCGUGAGUGAAGAAGGUCUUCGGAUCGUAAAACUCUGUUAUUAGGGAAGAACAAAUGUGUAAGUAACUAUGCACGUCUUGACGGUACCUAAUCAGAAAGCCACGGCUAACUACGUG